AGUACUGUGCCGGACAAAACGGAUAACCUUGAUGAGGUUAAUUAUAAGCACAGCUUCAGUACUU
This 64-nucleotide transfer RNA is filed under the name Timarete posteria. RNAcentral's name for it is "tRNA-Ile". The record is from RNAcentral. Lineage: Eukaryota; Metazoa; Annelida; Polychaeta; Terebellida; Cirratulidae.